GUAAAAGCUUUUAGUGAAUACCUAGGCACCCAGAGACGACGAAGGGCGUAGCAGUAAAGGACGAAAUGCUUCGGGGAGUUUAAACUAAGCAUUGAUCCGUAGAUUCCCGAAUAGGGAAACCUUUUUAACUAUAUGCUGAAUUAAUGGGCAUAAAAGAGAUAACUUAGCGAACUGAAACAUCUUAGUAGCUGAAGGAAAAUAAAGUAAUAAGCGAUUUCUGAAGUAGUGGUGAGCGAAAUGAAAGUAGCCUAAACCAUCAAAGGGGUUGUGGGGGAGCAACUAAAAAAUUUAAAUAUUUAAGCGAAGCAGCGGAGUAUUGUAUCAUAGAUGGUAAGAGUCCAGUAGAAUAAUAUCUAAUUAACUUAAGCUUUAACCCAAGUAGCAUGGGAUAAGUUAAAAUACCGUACGAAUCCACAAGGACCAUCUUACAAGGCUAAAUACUCUUUGGGUGACCAAUAGCAUAGUAAGUACCGUGAGGGAAAGGUGAAAAGAGCCCUCUUUUAGGGGAGUGAAAUAGAGCAUGAAAAUGCAAGCUUUCAAGCAGUGGGAGGAAUAUAUUAAAUCUGACCGCAUACCUUUUGAAGAAUGAGCCGACGACUCAUAUGCAGUGGCUUGGUUAAGGUAAAAUAACUGUAUCCGUAGCAAAAGCGAGUCUUAAAAGGGCAACAAUUGUCAUUAUUUAUGGACACAAACCUGGGUAAUCUAUCUAUGACCAGGAUUAAUCUUGGUUAAAACUAAGUUGAGGUCCGAACCAACUGAUGUUGAAAAAUCAGUGGAUGAGUUAUGGUUAGGGGUGAAAUGCCACUCGAACCCAGAGCUAGCUGGUUCUCCCCAAAAUGCAUUGAGGCGUAGCAGUUGACUGUAUAUCUAGGGGUAAAGCACUGUUUCAAUUGAGGCCACAUAAUAGUGGUGCCACAUUUAGACAAACUCUGAAUACUAGAUAUUUAUACAAAAGAUUAAUUGAUUAAGGUCAACUAGUGAGACAGUGAGGGAUAAGUUUCAUUAUCAAAAGGGAAACAGCCCAGAUCACCAGAUAAUGCUCCUAAAUGACCACUCAGUGAUAAAGGAAGUGGGAGUGCAUAGACAAUCAGUAAGUUUGCCUAGAAGCAGCAACCUUUUAAAGAGCGCGUAAUAGCUCACCGAUCAAGUGCUUUUGCACCAAAGAUGAAGGGGGCUAAGCGAUCUGCCGAAGCUGUGAGAUUUUUUUUUUAAGUUUUAUAUCUUAUUAUAUCUUAAACGUAAUAUAAAAAUUAUUGGUAGGGGAGCAUUCCACCUUAGAGAGAAAUACCUCGCUUAAGCAGGUGGUAGACAAAGCGGAAGUGAAAAUGUCGGCUUGAGUAAUGAAAACAUUGGUGAUAAUCCAAUGCCCCGAAAACCUAAGGGCAUAAAGGUCAUCUAGGGAGGGUUAGUCAGGGCCUAAGAUCAUGUCAAAAGGCGCAAUCGAUGGCUAAAAGGUAAAUAUUCCUGUAUUAUCCUUUUUGUUAUUGAGGGAUGGAGGAGGCUAGGUUAUCCAAAAAUUAUGGUUAUUGGCUUAAAGGGUAAGGAUACAUUCAUUAAAUAUGGGUUAUAAGGGGUAGAGUAAAUAUCUCGAACUAAUACCUGAAUAAUAAGUGCUAUUUUAUUCUUAAGGCUUAAGUAACUAAUGUCAUACUCCAAGGAAAAGCUCUAAAUAUAUUAAACAAGAAAGGAACAUGUACCCAAAACCAACACAAGUAGGUAGGUUGAGAAUACCUAGGGGCGCGAGACAACUCUCUAUAAGGAACUCGGCAAAAUAGCCCCGUAACUUCGGGAUAAGGGGUGCCUCUUAAAUAUAAGAGGUCGCAGCGGCCAGGCCCGGGCGACUGUUUACCAAAAACAAAGGUCUCCGCAAAGUCGUAAAGACCAUGUAUGGGGGCUGACGCCUGCCCAGUGCAGGAAGGUUAAAGAAGUUAGUGGUCGUGAUUUACAACAGGGUAGCUGACAACCUAAGCCCUGGUGAAUGGUAGUCGUAACUAUAACUGUAAAAUGUCAAGACUUCAUUUCUAAUUGUUUAUUAAUAUUUAAAUAAUUUUUACCUCAGAUUGAAAAUCUGACUUCGCCAUUGUGUUCACCACCCCAAAUUAGCUAGGGGUGAAGUUUUGAACGCAUUUGGAAAUCGUAAAUUUUUAGAUGAAUAUUUUAAUAUUAUUUAAAUACCUGAAAAUUCGAGUAAUUAAAUACUCUUCGGAUCAAAAAUCCGAGUGCACCAUUGUGUUCAGAAGCCCUCAAUUAGCUAGGAAUGAUAUUUUUUAAAAAAAUUUGGAAAAUAUUUAUUAAGUUAAGAUUAAUUAAUUAAAUUGAUUAUAAUAAAUUAAAAUUAUUUAAAUUUUUUUAAAACGGCGCCGUUGUAUUUAAGACACGCCGUCACCCUAUUUUAAAUCGGCGCCGUUCCGUUUGACGAAUCAGUCGAUCCGUCCGAUCGAACGAUCGGACGGUCGAGGACUCGUCGUCCCCGAAUUCUCCGCGUGUCCUUCGCGAAGCACAAGCGGCUUCCUCUUCGCUGCCAGAUAACUCUCUCGCCGCUCUAAGGACUGAAUUAAAACUUCAGGCAAUCAAGUCUCUGCCGAAAAAGCAUCUGGAAUUGAUCUCUUUCAUGCAGAGUCAAAAGCCUGAAUAAAACCCUAAACUCAUUCGAACCGUUGAAAUAAAGGUACCGGUUUCUCUUGCAGUUCUUACAAUUUCACUUCUUAUUCAUUUCAAAAUGCUAUUCCUUAUGGUUGAUUGUCAAUC
RNAcentral lists this ribosomal RNA (2748 nucleotides) under Gastrodia elata f. glauca. RNAcentral describes it as "bacterial LSU rRNA". The stretch from base 1 to 2093 matches the Rfam family "Bacterial large subunit ribosomal RNA". The record is from RNAcentral. Lineage: Eukaryota; Viridiplantae; Streptophyta; Magnoliopsida; Asparagales; Orchidaceae.